CCCUUAGAUGUUUUGGGCCGCACGCGCGCUACACUGACGAUGGCAACGAGUUUUUCCUUCGCCGAAAGGUGUGGGUAAUCUUUUGAAACAUCGUCGUGCUGGGGAUAGAUCAUUGCAAUUUUUGAUCUUGAACGAGGAAUUCCUAGUAAGCGCGAGUCAUCAGCUCGCGUUGAUUACGUCCCUGCCCUUUGUACACACCGCCCGUCGCUACUACCGAUUGAAUGGUUUAGUGAGGACUCCUGAUUGGCGCCGCCGCCCCGGCAACGGAGCAGCGGACUGCCGAAAAGUUGUUCAAACUUGAUCAUUUAGAGGAAGUAAAAGUCGUAACA
RNAcentral lists this ribosomal RNA (329 nucleotides) under uncultured eukaryote. Its description in RNAcentral is "partial 18S ribosomal RNA". It matches the Rfam family "Eukaryotic small subunit ribosomal RNA", at positions 1470 to 1796 of the family's 1831-position model. The record is from RNAcentral.